AAUCAUAUACCGGUUCUCGUUAGAUCACCGAAGUCAAGCAUCAUUGGGUGCGGUCAGUACUUGGGUGGGUGACCACCUGGGAACACUGCGUGCCGUU
Caerostris darwini is the source of this 97-nucleotide non-coding RNA. The record is from the annotation of a GenBank genome assembly. Lineage: Eukaryota; Metazoa; Arthropoda; Arachnida; Araneae; Araneidae.